GACGAACGCUGGCGGCGUGCUUAACACAUGCGAGUCGAACGGAAAGGCCCUGCUUUUGUGGGGUGCUCGAGUGGCGAACGGGUGAGUAACACGUGAGUAACCUGCCCUUGACUUUGGGAUAACUUCAGGAAACUGGGGCUAAUACCGGAUAGGAGCUCCUGCUGCAUGGUGGGGGUUGGAAAGUUUCGGCGGUUGGGGAUGGACUCGCGGCUUAUCAGCUUGUUGGUGGGGUAGUGGCUUACCAAGGCUUUGACGGGUAGCCGGCCUGAGAGGGUGACCGGCCACAUUGGGACUGAGAUACGGCCCAGACUCCUACGGGAGGCAGCAGUGGGGAAUAUUGCACAAUGGGCGGAAGCCUGAUGCAGCAACGCCGCGUGCGGGAUGACGGCCUUCGGGUUGUAAACCGCUUUCGCCUGUGACGAAGCGUGAGUGACGGUAAUGGGUAAGAAGCACCGGCUAACUACGUG
This 467-nucleotide ribosomal RNA is filed under the name uncultured bacterium. RNAcentral's name for it is "partial 16S ribosomal RNA". It matches the Rfam family "Bacterial small subunit ribosomal RNA", at positions 28 to 507 of the family's 1533-position model. The record is from RNAcentral.